Molecule: ribosomal RNA, 253 nt
Filed under: uncultured bacterium
Lineage: Bacteria
Description: partial 16S ribosomal RNA
Rfam family: Bacterial small subunit ribosomal RNA
Source: RNAcentral
UACGUAGGGUGCGAGCGUUAAUCGGAAUCACUGGGCGUAAAGCGUGCGCAGGCGGUUUUGUAAGCCAGAUGUGAAAUCCCCGGGCUUAACCUGGGAAUGGCAUUUGGGACUGCAAGGCUCGAGUGCGGCAGAGGAGACUGGAAUUCCUGGUGUAGCAGUGAAAUGCGUAGAUAUCAGGAGGAACACCGAUGGCGAAGGCAGGUCUCUGGGCUGACACUGACGCUCAUGCACGAAAGCGUGGGGAGCAAACAGG